CGGGCUGUAGCUCAGUGGUAGAGCACUUGCCUAGCAUGUAUAAGGCACUGGGUUCGAUUCUCAGCACCACAU
Non-coding RNA from Ictidomys tridecemlineatus (thirteen-lined ground squirrel), 72 nucleotides. The record is from Rfam. NCBI's taxonomy places the organism in Eukaryota, Metazoa, Chordata, Mammalia, Rodentia, Sciuridae.